Macaca fascicularis (crab-eating macaque) is the source of this 107-nucleotide small nuclear RNA. The record is from Ensembl. Lineage: Eukaryota; Metazoa; Chordata; Mammalia; Primates; Cercopithecidae.
GUGCUUGCCUUGGUAGCACAUAUACUAAAACUGGAAUGAUACAGAAAAGAUUAGCAUGGCCCUUGAACAAGGAUGACAUUCAAAUUCAUGAAGAUUCCACUUUUUAA